AGAAGACAACAGACAGAGAUUACUAGUAGCUUAAAUACUUGAAGAACUCAAAUUCAACUAGGACAAGGGACGAGCCAUGCAGCUUCUCACCAUACUGGUCAUCUUCACUGUCUUCUCGGCUAGAUUAGCAUCAUCUCUCGAGUCAUACUUCCACAGUUGUGAGGAUAAAGCACCAAAAGAUGGCUCAUUAGGGAUAGAAGAUUCCCAAUUGAUGGGCUGCAGUUUUUCAUGCCUUAUGAAUAAAGACUGCAAGUCUUUCACCAUCAGCGGCAACAACUGCGAAUUGUACAGUAAACCUGUCACCAAAUGCACUGGAAAUUGGUUCGUCUCAAAAAAGGGGACAAAGACUUGGUAUAAAACUACCUAGAUAUUGUUGGACGAUGCACAAGUACACUGACUCACUAUUAAAAGUGUGGCAGAUAGACUAUCAUAGAUUAGAGUGGACUAUAGUCUACUUCACAAGCAAAUAGCAGAAUCUCCAGUCUGAUUUUUUUAGCUUUCAAUGCACAGAAAAUGCAUCAUCAGAACAAAUGGUUAUAUACGAUCUGAAAUGUUUGAAUACCUACAUGUACUUACUCAGCCAGAAUCAGCCAAAGCAUGCUGAAGAACUAGCCAUUUGAAGUGAAAUACUGACAAUUUUUCCCAUCCAUUUUAGCCUUUUUUUGCACACAUGACCAUUUUUGUAUGAAAUGGUGUACAGGUUCAAGAUUAUAAGAAAGCAAUAAAGACACAAGCCAGUCUUCAACAGUAUGUACGUAGUCUUGAUAUUGAUAGUCAAAAGAAUUCUACAUGUGGGACUACCAAUUUUGGAACGAUGGGUUACAUAUACUACAGGACUCGUAUUGAUCAAAUAGUCUAACAACAAAUAAAUAACACUUAUACAUCAUUGCAUGUCAUGUAUUGCUUGGACGGAUAAAGGUGUCGUCAGAGAACUACAUGAACUCAAUUUGACUUUCCUACAUGUAAUUUUGAUCAUGGUAAAACGCUCAUACUACCAUGAAAAAGAAAAAAACCCUCAUCGAGUAACAUUAUGGAAAACCUUACUGAUAAAAAAUACACGGCACUUAAGUCCAAAAAUAAAUAUUUAUCAAAAGGUCA
Long non-coding RNA from Lineus longissimus, 1098 nucleotides. RefSeq lists it as uncharacterized. The transcript is spliced from 2 exons. Lineage: Eukaryota; Metazoa; Nemertea; Pilidiophora; Heteronemertea; Lineidae. The record is from RefSeq and is a predicted model, not a curated record.